RNAcentral lists this unclassified non-coding RNA (261 nucleotides) under uncultured fungus. RNAcentral describes it as "partial contains small subunit ribosomal RNA, internal transcribed spacer 1, and 5.8S ribosomal RNA". The stretch from base 1 to 73 matches the Rfam family "Eukaryotic small subunit ribosomal RNA", at positions 1759 to 1831 of the family's 1831-position model. Lineage: Eukaryota; Fungi. The record is from RNAcentral.
GCAAACUUGGUCAUUUAGAGGAAGUAAAAGUCGUAACAAGGUUUCCGUAGGUGAACCUGCGGAAGGAUCAUUAACAAAUCCAUUGGCGCAGCAUCCAAAUGCUACCAUGCAUGAGGAUGUUUGCGACAUUUGUUCCAUGUGCAUUGUUCACUCUGCACAUUGUGUUCACAUUUCUACGAAUUAUCUGAUUGUCAUAAAAAUUACAAAAUAUCAACUUUUAACAAUGGAUCUCUAGGCUCCUGCAUCGAUGAAGAACGCAGC